Molecule: long non-coding RNA, 422 nt
Filed under: Vigna radiata
Lineage: Eukaryota; Viridiplantae; Streptophyta; Magnoliopsida; Fabales; Fabaceae
Description: long non-coding RNA (VRAD_LNC014006)
Source: RNAcentral
CCAAUUGUUUUCUAGGUUGUACCUUCGAUAUUUCAGCUGAAAAAUUCGAUUCUACCACUUCACCUCCAUAUGAACCUUAACAUUUUGGUUUCAUAUGCUUCUGUCUAGGUAUGAUGAUGCAUCAUCCAUGAGCAAUCAGGACAAGAAAGACAAAGAUGGCCACAAGAAACAACUCUGUGAAGUAAUAUUAUUUUUAAGAUAAAUUAUUUUAAAAAUAUGUAUGUCAGUUUGCAUGAGAUGACUACAUUAAAGUUCUUUAAGUUGUGACUGCAUAAUCUACUUACACUUUUUCCAUCUAGCUGUUCUUCUGGCUUGAUAUUGAUGUGUUGUUACAGGUUUACGAGAGGCUGGCAUCCAUCAUUGCUAUGGAAAAAGAGAAUUCAAGUUGGACCAAACCGCCUGAAUGAUCUUGGCACCAUAUC